This 122-nucleotide ribosomal RNA is filed under the name Escherichia coli. RNAcentral's name for it is "partial 23S ribosomal RNA". It matches the Rfam family "Bacterial large subunit ribosomal RNA", at positions 2813 to 2925 of the family's 2925-position model. Lineage: Bacteria; Pseudomonadati; Pseudomonadota; Gammaproteobacteria; Enterobacterales; Enterobacteriaceae. The record is from RNAcentral.
CCUUGAGAGUCCUGAAGGAACGUUGAAGACGACGACGUUGAUAGGCCGGGUGUGUAAGCGCAGCAAUGCGUUGAGCUAACCGGUACUAAUGAACCGUGAGGCUUAACCUUACAACGCCGAAG